Molecule: long non-coding RNA, 1378 nt
Organism: Mus pahari (shrew mouse)
Lineage: Eukaryota; Metazoa; Chordata; Mammalia; Rodentia; Muridae
Exons: 3
Source: RefSeq, a predicted model, not a curated record
CUGACUCUCUUCGGUGACGGGUAUUCUUGGGUGGAUAAUACGGAUUACGUUGUUAUUGCUUAAGAAUACGCGUAGUCGAGGAGAGUACUAGCGGCAGGCGGGCAGCGGCCGCCCCUCCCAGCCCACCAGCUGGCCACUAAAAGCUCCCGGUUGCCAAGGACUUCCUUCUUAAGGUUUUGAUCAAGUUAGAUGCACUGCUCAGAAGACAAAUGGCAUCACAGAACAAAUUUGAAAGAAGUUUCAGGAAAACAGCUGCAUUAGAAGACCAAGGGAUUUCCAGGAACAAGAUGAGAAGAGUAUUUUACUGUAUCAAACAUGUUCUUUAUUACAACUCGGGGCAACUAAAAACAGUCACUACAGCUGGUUACCAAUUAAGUCCCUACCAAAAAAAAGAAUAACCUUUAGAUCUCUCUUUAAUGAGGAUAAAAAUGUGUUUAUACUGAUCAUGAUUUUCUGAACGCAAGUCUAUUUCUAACUUAUCAGUGGACUCCUGGCUCUUAAAUGUAGUAUUUGAAUCAAAUGCCCAGGAACUUUGAAUGGCACCCACCCACCGAUUAGAAGGCAAAGAGAUGAAUUAGAAGUAGCUGAUAAAAUCCAUGAUAUGAUUUGCCGUACUUUAACAAAGGACAUUUUGUAUAAUGUGACAAAAUCACAACAAAAUAUAGAGUGUCUUGUUACAAAGGGAUCAGCUAUACGUUAUUUGAAACUUCCAUUCUGAGACUGCAGAUGCAGAAUACAUGCUAAGUCGCUGCUACUCAACAGAAGUUGAUUCUGUUUUCAGGGAAUUGGCCAUAAUGAGAGAAAAAAAUCAUCUGCAAGUAAUAAUUAAGGGGUAAUACAAUUAAGCUUCUGAAAAUAGAAUAAAAUGUGUGUGUAGAUGCACUGAGGCUGCUAAAAAAAAUAGAAAGCAGAUCACUUCAAUCAAAUUCACACCUACAUUGUGCAGUUACUAAUAAAGUGUAGCAAUUUUAAAUUCAUUUAAAGUCCUUUUUGAAAAAAAGGAAGAAGGAAAAGAAAAUAAAGAUCUAUCAGUUGCAUCAAAAAUGGUUUAAUUCAGUUGAAGUCACAGGCUGGUUUAGGAAAAUUGGAUUUUACUGAUCUUCUAUUGAUUUUUAGCAAAUUUAAAACUGUCGCUAUCUGCUGAUUCUGCUGAUCCACAAAUUCAAAGUGUCCAAACAAUUUACAUAUCACUGAAAAAUGACUGUUUUAAUGCACUGUAUUUAUAAAGCAGCACUCUUUUGUGGCGUCUGCAGCUAGCCGACUACAGAACGAACACUCUGACAUCAUUCUUUCCAGCAUACAGAGAAGUCUCUUUUUUUUUUUUUUUUUACUCAGCCAUAACAUAUUGACUGAGAAAUAAAACCAUUUCUCAUUUCCU